GAUGAACGCUGGCGGCGUGCCUAAUACAUGCAAGUAGAGCGAACAGACGAGGAGCUUGCUCCUCUGACGUUAGCGGCGGACGGGUGAGUAACACGUGGAUAACCUACCUAUAAGACUGGGAUACUUCGGGAAACCGGAGCUAAUACCGGAUAAUAUAUUGAACCGCAUGGUUCAAUAGUGAAAGACGGAUUUGCUGUCACUUAUAGAUGGAUCCGCGCCGCAUUAGUUAGUUGGUAAGGUAACGGCUUACAAAGGCAACGAUGCGUAGCCGACCUGAGAGGGGGAUCGGCCACACGGGAACUGAGACACGGUCCAGACUCCUACGGGAGGCAGCAGUAGGGAAUCUUCCGCAAUGGGCGAAAGCCUGACGGAGCAACGCCGCGUGAGUGAUGAAGUUCUUCGGAUCGUAAAACUCUGUUAUUAGGGAAGAACAAAUGUGUAAGUAACUAUGCACGUCUUGACGGUACCUAAUCAGAAAGCCACGGCUAACUACGUG
RNAcentral lists this ribosomal RNA (496 nucleotides) under uncultured bacterium. Its description in RNAcentral is "partial 16S ribosomal RNA". It matches the Rfam family "Bacterial small subunit ribosomal RNA", at positions 28 to 507 of the family's 1533-position model. The record is from RNAcentral.